This 497-nucleotide ribosomal RNA is filed under the name Burkholderia sp. RNAcentral's name for it is "bacterial SSU rRNA". It matches the Rfam family "Bacterial small subunit ribosomal RNA", at positions 465 to 962 of the family's 1533-position model. Lineage: Bacteria; Pseudomonadati; Pseudomonadota; Betaproteobacteria; Burkholderiales; Burkholderiaceae. The record is from RNAcentral.
GGGGAUGACGGUACCGGAAGAAUAAGCACCGGCUAACUACGUGCCAGCAGCCGCGGUAAUACGUAGGGUGCAAGCGUUAAUCGGAAUUACUGGGCGUAAAGCGUGCGCAGGCGGUUUGCUAAGACCGAUGUGAAAUCCCCGGGCUCAACCUGGGAACUGCAUUGGUGACUGGCAGGCUAGAGUAUGGGAGAGGGGGGUAAAAUUCCACGUGUAGCAGUGAAAUGCGUAGAGAUGUGGAGGAAUACCGAUGGCGAAGGCAGCCCCCUGGGCCAAUACUGACGCUCAUGCACGAAUGCGUGGGGAGCAAACAGGAUUAGAUACCCUGGUAGUCCACGCCCUAAACGAUGUCAACUAGUUGUUGGGGAUUCAUUUCCUUAGUAACGUACCUAACGCGUGAAGUUGACCGCCUGGGGAGUACGGUCGCAAGAUUAAAACUCAAAGGAAUUGACGGGGACCCGCACAAGCGGUGGAUGAUGUGGAUUAAUUCCAUGCAACGC